Molecule: ribosomal RNA, 467 nt
Filed under: uncultured bacterium
Lineage: Bacteria
Description: partial 16S ribosomal RNA
Rfam family: Bacterial small subunit ribosomal RNA
Source: RNAcentral
GACGAACGCUGGCGGCGUGCUUAACACAUGCAAGUCGAACGGAAAGGCCCUGCUUUUGUGGGGUGCUCGAGUGGCGAACGGGUGAGUAACACGUGAGUAACCUGCCCUUGACUUUGGGAUAACUUCAGGAAACUGGGGCUAAUACCGGAUAGGAGCUCCUGCUGCAUGGUGGGGGUUGGAAAGUUUCGGCGGUUGGGGAUGGACUCGCGGCUUAUCAGCUUGUUGGUGGGGUAGUGGCUUACCAAGGCUUUGACGGGUAGCCGGCCUGGGAGGGUGACCGGCCACAUUGGGACUGGGGUACGGCCCAGACUCCUACGGGAGGCAGCAGUGGGGAAUAUUGCACAAUGGGCGGAAGCCUGAUGCAGCAACGCCGCGUGCGGGAUGACGGCCUUCGGGUUGUAACCCGCUUUCGCCUGUGACGAAGCGUGAGUGACGGUAAUGGGUAAAGAAGCACCGGCUAACUACGU